This 878-nucleotide long non-coding RNA is filed under the name Homo sapiens (human). Its description in RNAcentral is "HSALNT0106615". The record is from RNAcentral. Lineage: Eukaryota; Metazoa; Chordata; Mammalia; Primates; Hominidae.
UGGCUGCCCUGCUGAACUCAGGAUUCUAUUCAUAAGGAAGAAGAUGUGAAUAAAUAUUGGAGAUGUGUAUCAGUCAGAAAACACCCCAUUUCAUGCAGUUCAAAGAGAAAGGGAGUUGAUACAAAGAAUCAAGUGCUUGUGCUUGCAAGAUGGUUUAAAGGGCUAAAGGAAGGAAGGGAAGGGAAGGUCGGAGCAGGCUCUCGGGUUCACCGCCUGAUUUCAGACACGGGAAUGCCACGACCACAGAAAACCACCACUGAUGACUAGAACUACCUGCAACACCAAGACAGGUGAUUCACAGGGGAAAAUCAGAGGCGGCUGCAAAACAAACCCAAAUGUGUCUGCCCACCACUGCUGAAGGAACCCUUUGGCGUCUGUUCCCCUUCUAUCUUCCAAUUCUCAGUGAGUGCCUCUCAUCGGGAAAUUUAAACCAGAAGCCUGCUGGCAACAGAUUCUGGGAAAUAUAGUUCCCAGUCUUCCAGCCCCUACAUUACAGAGGAGUUGGAGUUCUGAAACCACCUCAUACUUGGAAUAGAAGCCAUGUGAAAACAAAGCCCCUGCAUCACUCCUAUCUGCCUGGAAUGCUGUUGUGUGAAGGUGUAAUGUUUGAAGCUGUGGCUGCCAUCUUGUGACAAAGGGGCACUCCGUGUUGUCAGGAUGAGGACGGCAGAGGAAGAUGCUGGGGAAAGCCUGGAUCUGCGGACAUCUCUGAACCACUACGUCCUGGGACCAGCUAUCUGGGCUUCCUGUUUUGUUCAGCUCAAAACUGACUUCGCCGCCAACGCUGCCUGGAUCCUGACUCUGUUGGGAUUGUUCUCAGAGCCUGCUCAGUGUACUUGGAAAUGUCCUUCAAAGCCUGCUAACUCUCAUCAUUUCAG